GUGUCCUGAGUCAUGCCUUGCCAAAUAAAUAGAAGGCAUGCGUUAAACCACGAUUGUCAUUUGAAGCUGUAACCUGUGAAAAUGCGAACAACCCGAAGUAGGGUAUUCACGCGUGAUGUAUUUUUGAAACUAAAGGGUAAUUUCGUUACUAUUAAGACUGCUGUCCGGAGUGAUGUAGGAAAAUUCUUUAAACCUUUCAGUUCUGCAGUCCCGCCGCCGAGCGCAAAAAACUGUUUUAUUUUUUUUUCUGCCUAAAACUGUAUGCUGCUGUCGAAGUCAGCAGAGAAUUCGGAGCAGCGUAAAAGUCUUCCGGCGAACGCGCGCUCGCCAAAAAAAGAGAGGCAGAUCUUCGGAUAUUACCCUCUCUUUUUGUGUCUUAUAAUCUGCUUGCCCUCUGCUCUCAGAGAGCAACCUUCGGUCGGUGCUCUUUUUUGCGUCUCUCCGUUAUGUUUCGUCUCCGUUAUGUUCAGAAAGAAGAAAAAGACCUGGUGUAUUCUGUUUGAGCUAUGAAAAGAGAAGCAGCGACUGUUUAAAUGUUUCACUGCGACUUAUUUUAGUUUAUUUAUAUAAGUAAUAUUUUUUGAAAUAAAUCAAGUCAGGUUUUAUAACAUAACCCAAAAAUGAAAUCCCUCAAAAGUCUUUAAACAGUAUGAAAUGGAGCGUUGGAAAAGGAUUCCCUGCACCUGGACAAAUGUUUAAGCAAAGCUAUGAAAAACAUUAAAAACAAAUUAGCUCAAAAAACAUAGAUUUAAAUUAUAUAAUUUAACAAAAACAUAAUGAAAAGUAAAUUAAUAUGUAUGUAUUUUAAAUUGAAUUUUUGGAAAGGUGGAAAGUGAUGAAAAAAUCGCUAGGAUUUCCCUGGGGAGUUUCCUUGCAGGUGAAAGUCCUUGGAAAAAUCGUGAAAUUCCGAUGGGUUUUCCAUGGAACGUGUCCCUUGUAAGGGAUUUCACAGGAAUCGCGAAUUUCCGAAGGGAUUUUCCUGGGACGUUUCCUUUGCAGGAAACAGGCCAUACAACAAAUGAGUAUAAGGAACAGGGGAAACCGAAGGGACUUCGAAA
Drosophila biarmipes is the source of this 1058-nucleotide long non-coding RNA. RefSeq lists it as uncharacterized. Lineage: Eukaryota; Metazoa; Arthropoda; Insecta; Diptera; Drosophilidae. The transcript has 3 exons. The record is from RefSeq and is a predicted model, not a curated record.